AUACGGAGGGUGCAAGCGUUGUUCGGAAUCACUGGGCGUAAAGGGCGCGCAGGCGGUUUGGUAAGUCAGAUGUGAAAGCCCAUGGCUCAACCAUGGAAGUGCAUUUGGAACUGUCAGACUUGAGUACUAGAGGGGAAAGUGGAAUUCCCGGUGUAGAGGUGAAAUUCGUAGAUAUCGGGAGGAAUACCGGUGGCGAAGGCGACUUUCUGGCUAGAUACUGACGCUGAGGCGCGAAAGCGUGGGGAGCAAACAGGAUUAGAUACCCUAGUAGUCC
RNAcentral lists this ribosomal RNA (274 nucleotides) under uncultured bacterium. RNAcentral's name for it is "partial 16S ribosomal RNA". It matches the Rfam family "Bacterial small subunit ribosomal RNA", at positions 523 to 796 of the family's 1533-position model. The record is from RNAcentral.